Molecule: ribosomal RNA, 569 nt
Filed under: bacterium amp-w-14
Lineage: Bacteria
Description: bacterial SSU rRNA
Rfam family: Bacterial small subunit ribosomal RNA
Source: RNAcentral
CAUGCAGUCGAACGGUAACAGGUCUUCGGAUGCUGACGAGUGGCGAACGGGUGAGUAAUACAUCGGAACGUGCCUAGUAGUGGGGGAUAACUACUCGAAAGAGUAGCUAAUACCGCAUGAGAUCUACGGAUGAAAGCAGGGGACCUUCGGGCCUUGUGCUACUAGAGCGGCUGAUGGCAGAUUAGGUAGUUGGUGGGGUAAAAGCUUACCAAGCCUGCGAUCUGUAGCUGGUCUGAGAGGACGACCAGCCACACUGGGACUGAGACACGGCCCAGACUCCUACGGGAGGCAGCAGUGGGGAAUUUUGGACAAUGGGCGAAAGCCUGAUCCAGCAAUGCCGCGUGCAGGAUGAAGGCCCUCGGGUUGUAAACUGCUUUUGUACGGAACGAAAAGCCUGGGGCUAAUAUCCCCGGGUCAUGACGGUACCGUAAGAAUAAGCACCGGCUAACUACGUGCCAGCAGCCGCGGUAAUACGUAGGGUGCAAGCGUUAAUCGGAAUUACUGGGCGUAAAGCGUGCGCAGGCGGUUUUGUAAGACAGUGGUGAAAUCCCCGGGCUCAACCUGGGAAC